This 333-nucleotide unclassified non-coding RNA is filed under the name uncultured fungus. Its description in RNAcentral is "sequence contains ITS1". The stretch from base 1 to 105 matches the Rfam family "5.8S ribosomal RNA", at positions 50 to 154 of the family's 154-position model. The record is from RNAcentral. Lineage: Eukaryota; Fungi.
AAAAUGCGAUACGCAAUGCGAAUUGCAGAAUUCCGCGAAUCAUCAGAUUCUUGAACGCAACUGGCGCUGGAGGGAUAUCCUUUCAGCAUGUCUGUUUCAGUGUCUGAUAACUUCCAAAUUAACAUAAUGUGUUUGACAAGGAGUAGUUCUUAUGACCUAUCUUCCAAGUCUUACAUUAAAGAUGUAUGUGUGGGUCUUUGGAUCCAUCGAAUUGGUCACUGACUCUUCAGUGAUUUCGAUUGGAUUAUCCAAUUACUCGAAUGCACAUAGAAAUCAUUAUUUCAUCUUUAACAUCUGCAUCUGAAAUCAGGCAAGAUUACCCGCUGAACUUAA